AUUGAACGCUGGCGGCAUGCUUUACACAUGCAAGUCGAACGGUAACAGGGUGCUUGCACCGCUGACGAGUGGCGAACGGGUGAGUAAUGCGUCGGAACGUGCCGAGUAGUGGGGGAUAACGCAGCGAAAGUUGUGCUAAUACCGCAUACGUACUGAGGUAGAAAGUGGGGGACCUUCGGGCCUCACGCUAUUCGAGCGGCCGACGUCUGAUUAGCCAGUAGGUGAGGUAAAGGCUCACCUAGGCGACGAUCAGUAGCGGGUCUGAGAGGAUGAUCCGCCACACUGGGACUGAGACACGGCCCAGACUCCUACGGGAGGCAGCAGUGGGGAAUUUUGGACAAUGGGCGAAAGCCUGAUCCAGCCAUGCCGCGUGUCUGAAGAAGGCCUUCGGGUUGUAAAGGACUUUUGUCAGGGAGGAAAUCGCACGGGCUAAUACCCUGUGUGGAUGACGGUACCGGAAUAAGAAGCACCGGCUAACUACGUGCCAGCAGCCGCCGUAA
This 500-nucleotide ribosomal RNA is filed under the name uncultured bacterium. Its description in RNAcentral is "partial 16S ribosomal RNA". It matches the Rfam family "Bacterial small subunit ribosomal RNA", at positions 30 to 523 of the family's 1533-position model. The record is from RNAcentral.